UACGUAGGGGGCAAGCGUUGUCCGGAUUUAUUGGGCGUAAAGAGCGUGUAGGCGGUCAGAUAGGUCCGUUGUGAAAACUCGAGGCUCAACCUCGAGACGCCGAUGGAAACCAUCUGACUAGAGUCCGGAAGAGGAGAGUGGAAUUCCUGGUGUAGCGGUGAAAUGCGUAGAUAUCAGGAGGAACACCUGUGGCGAAAGCGGCGCACUGGACCACAACUGACGCUGAGGCGCGAAAGCUAGGGGAGCAAACAGG
Molecule: ribosomal RNA, 253 nt
Filed under: uncultured bacterium
Lineage: Bacteria
Description: partial 16S ribosomal RNA
Rfam family: Bacterial small subunit ribosomal RNA
Source: RNAcentral